This 281-nucleotide ribosomal RNA is filed under the name uncultured bacterium. Its description in RNAcentral is "partial 16S ribosomal RNA". It matches the Rfam family "Bacterial small subunit ribosomal RNA", at positions 335 to 606 of the family's 1533-position model. The record is from RNAcentral.
ACUCCUACGGGAGGCAGCAGUGGGGAAUAUUGCACAAUGGGCGCAAGCCUGAUGCAGCCAUGCCGCGUGUGUGAAGAAGGCCUUCGGGUUGUAAAGCACUUUCAGUGUGAGGAAAGGAUUAGUCGCUAAUAUCGGACUAGCUGUGACGUUAUGCAACAGAAGAAGCACCGGCUAACUCCGUGCCAGCAGCCGCGGUAAUACGGAGGGUGCGAGCGUUAAUCGGAAUUACUGGGCGUAAAGCGCGUGUAGGUGGCUUGUUAAGCCAGAUGUGAAAGCCCGGC